UACGUAGGGUGCAAGCGUUGUCCGGAAUUACUGGGGCGUAAAGCGCACGUAGGCGGCUUUGUAAGUUAGAGGUGAAAGCCCGGAGCUCAACUCCGGAAUUGCCUUUAAGACUGCAUCGCUCGAAUCAUGGAGAGGUGAGUGGAAUUCCGAGUGUAGAGGUGAAAUUCGUAGAUAUUCGGAAGAACACCAGUGGCGAAGGCGACUCACUGGACAUGUAUUGACGCUGAGGUGCGAAAGCGUGGGGAGCAAACAGG
This 254-nucleotide ribosomal RNA is filed under the name uncultured bacterium. RNAcentral describes it as "partial 16S ribosomal RNA". It matches the Rfam family "Bacterial small subunit ribosomal RNA", at positions 524 to 776 of the family's 1533-position model. The record is from RNAcentral.